GGCAUAAAUGAGUACAACAAGGACUGGUCGAUUCGGGAGUCAGUAUAAUGAGUCUGAGUGGGGUAUACAUGCUUAACUGCGGUAUGGUAUCUCAUUGAGCUAGCACUCUAAACCCAGCUUAAGUCAUGAAAUUGACAGACCAGCUCUGAUGAUUUGUAUCAUAAUUUGGGACACCUGAAUAAAAAUGGUUUGACUGACUGAGUG
Molecule: long non-coding RNA, 204 nt
Organism: Haliotis rubra (blacklip abalone)
Lineage: Eukaryota; Metazoa; Mollusca; Gastropoda; Lepetellida; Haliotidae
Exons: 3
Source: RefSeq, a predicted model, not a curated record